RNAcentral lists this ribosomal RNA (468 nucleotides) under uncultured bacterium. RNAcentral's name for it is "partial 16S ribosomal RNA". It matches the Rfam family "Bacterial small subunit ribosomal RNA", at positions 28 to 507 of the family's 1533-position model. The record is from RNAcentral.
GACGAACGCUGGCGACGUGCUUAACACAUGCAAGUCGAACGGAAAGGCCCUGCUUUUGUGGGGUGCUCGAGUGGCGAACGGGUGAGUAACACGUGAGUAACCUGCCCUUGACUUUGGGAUAACUUCAGGAAACUGGGGCUAAUACCGGAUAGGAGCUCCUGCUGCACGGUGGGGGUUGGAAAGUUUCGGCGGUUGGGGAUGGACUCGCGGCUUAUCAGCUUGUUGGUGGGGUAGUGGCUUACCAAGGCUUUGACGGGUAGCCGGCCUGAGAGGGUGACCGGCCACAUUGGGACUGAGAUACGGCCCAGACUCCUACGGGAGGCAGCAGUGGGGAAUAUUGCACAAUGGGCGGAAGCCUGAUGCAGCAACGCCGCGUGCGGGAUGACGGCCUUCGGGUUGUAAACCGCUUUCGCCUGUGACGAAGCGUGAGUGACGGUAAUGGGUAAAGAAGCACCGGCUAACUACGUG